GGGUGUAUAGCUCAGUGGUAGAGCAGAUGCUUGGCAUGCACAAGGUCCUGGGCUCAAUCCCCAGCACCUCCA
Molecule: transfer RNA, 72 nt
Filed under: Camelus bactrianus (Bactrian camel)
Lineage: Eukaryota; Metazoa; Chordata; Mammalia; Artiodactyla; Camelidae
Also listed under: 2 other names
Rfam family: tRNA
About the family: Transfer RNA (tRNA) molecules are approximately 80 nucleotides in length. Their secondary structure includes four short double-helical elements and three loops (D, anti-codon, and T loops). Further hydrogen bonds mediate the characteristic L-shaped molecular structure. tRNAs have two regions of fundamental functional importance: the anti-codon, which is responsible for specific mRNA codon recognition, and the 3' end, to which the tRNAs corresponding amino acid is attached (by aminoacyl-tRNA synthetases). tRNAs cope with the degeneracy of the genetic code in two manners: having more than one tRNA (with a specific anti-codon) for a particular amino acid; and 'wobble' base-pairing, i.e. permitting non-standard base-pairing at the 3rd anti-codon position.
Source: Rfam by way of RNAcentral